This 747-nucleotide ribosomal RNA is filed under the name uncultured organism. RNAcentral's name for it is "bacterial SSU rRNA". It matches the Rfam family "Bacterial small subunit ribosomal RNA", at positions 687 to 1450 of the family's 1533-position model. The record is from RNAcentral.
UGCGUAGAUAUCGGGAGGAACACCCGUGGCGAAGCCGGCCUUCUGGACUGUUCCUGACGCUGAAGGCGAAAGCUAGGGGAGCGAACGGGAUUAGAUACCCCGGUAGUCCUAGCUGUAAACGAUGGAUGCUGGGUAUGGGGGGUGUAAAUUCCCUCUGUGCCGAAGCAAACGCGUUAAGCAUCCCGCCUGGGGACUACGGCCGCAAGGCUAAAACUCAAACGAAUUGACGGGGGCCCGCACAAGCAGCGGAGCGUGUGGUUUAAUUCGAUGCUACACGAAGAACCUUACCUGGGUUUGACAUGCACGUGGUAGGGAACCGAAAGGGGACCGACCUUCGGGAGCGUGCACAGGUGCUGCAUGGCUGUCGUCAGCUCGUGCCGUGAGGUGUCGGGUUAAGUCCCGUAACGAGCGCAACCCUUGCCCUUAGUUACAAGUGUCUAAGGGGACUGCCCGGGACAACUGGGAGGAAGGUGGGGAUGACGUCAAGUCAGCAUGGCCUUUAUAUCCAGGGCUACACACACGCUACAAUGGCCGGUACAAUAGGUUGCGAAGUCGUGAGGCGGAGCCAAUCCUCAAAGCCGGUCUCAGUUCGAAUUGCAGUCUGCAACUCGACUGCAUGAAGCUGGAGUUGCUAGUAAUCGCAGGUCAGCUAUACUCCGGUGAUACGUUCCCGGGCAUUGACACACCGCCCGUCACGUCAUGGAAGCUGGCAACGCCUGAAGCCGGUGAGCUAACCCGAAAGGGAGC